Chenopodium quinoa (quinoa) is the source of this 619-nucleotide long non-coding RNA. RefSeq lists it as uncharacterized. The record is from RefSeq and is a predicted model, not a curated record. NCBI's taxonomy places the organism in Eukaryota, Viridiplantae, Streptophyta, Magnoliopsida, Caryophyllales, Amaranthaceae. The transcript is spliced from 3 exons.
UUUUAUGUAUACGAAUAUUUUUUAAUAAUUUUAUGUUUAUAUAAAAAAUAUUUUGGAAAGAUUUCACAAAAUAAAAACGAAUUACUUACUUUGGGCCAUGACUACCAUUCUAACAAAAAAAAAAGAGCCCAUACCCUCAUUUUUAAUUAAGUAAACUUCUUCCCCAAAACCUCCUAUAAACCCACCUACUGCUUCCCCUACUCCCUUUCCCUUGUUUCCCUACUUCAUUCACGAAACACACAAAAAAAAUAAAAAUAAAAUAAAAUUCGCUGCUACUGUCGCCUGCGUGGCUGCUGUCGCCGCUGCACUGCUGCUGCCACCGGCGACCCGUCGCGGCUGCCCGAACCACCAGCCGAGAGGACUUCAUAGAAGGUGACUUGUAGCCUUAAAGUGGCCAACCAAUUUGUGUACUCAAGAUUCAUCACAGGUUUUUGGCAUAAACUGAAAUUACAUCAGGGUGAUGGGAAUUGAGUGGAGCGUUGGUUAAUUACUUAGCUUAUUUCACUUCAUAGACUGAGUUUAUUUUGACUAUAAUUUUACUUCCUAUUUUAUUUGGAUUUUGAAUAAGGGCCUUUAUGGUUCCAACUUGUAAGUCUAAAGCCUGAUUUUGGUUUUUAGU